This 253-nucleotide ribosomal RNA is filed under the name uncultured bacterium. RNAcentral's name for it is "partial 16S ribosomal RNA". It matches the Rfam family "Bacterial small subunit ribosomal RNA", at positions 524 to 776 of the family's 1533-position model. The record is from RNAcentral.
UACGUAGGGUGCAAGUGUUAAUCGGAAUUACUGGGCGUAAAGCGUGCGCAGGCGGUUGUGCAAGACCGAUGUGAAAUCCCCGGGCUUAACCUGGGAAUGGCAUUGGUGACUGCACGGCUAGAGUGUGUCAGAGGGGGGUAGAAUUCCACGUGUAGCAGUGAAAUGCGUAGAGAUGUGGAGGAAUACCGAUGGCGAAGGCAGCCCCCUGGGAUAACACUGACGCUCAUGCACGAAAGCGUGGGGAGCGAACAGG